AUGAGCAGAGUAAAGACUCUGAGAAAUAGAGUACAGACAGAAAGUGUCACAACUAAUUGGAAUAGCAGAGAAAAGUGUCCGGAGCUCACCAGGAGAAACAGUAUGAGUGGACAGAGACCCUGUCUGGCUCAUGAUGCAGAUGCGGACAGACCUGUGAAGUGUCAUUCUGAUUUGUCAGAGAGGAUCAAAUAUGAGGUGAGAUAUUCACCACAAAGAGAACAGAAGAGACAAACAAUUGUCAUCAGUUAUGAUAAUAUAUCCUUUUCUACUCAUUAAUAUGAAGUAGUAUUUGGAAAUAAUGAUGAAAGAGAAUCCCUAAACAGUUUUAGUCAUUUGAUCAUUUUUUUCUCUUUAUUGAUUACAGCACAAAACCUCCUGGACCCGUCCUCCUGACAGCAUCUCUAUCAGCAAAACCGAAAUACCUUCAUGAUCAUGUUACCAACAAUCACUCUCAUAGAGCUAAAUCACCAUUGCUUUUCAUUUUCUCAUAAAUCCUAAAUCAAUAAAAACUCCCAACUGAGGCGAGACUGAACA
This is a long non-coding RNA of Cyprinus carpio (common carp), 534 nucleotides long. Lineage: Eukaryota; Metazoa; Chordata; Actinopteri; Cypriniformes; Cyprinidae. The record is from Ensembl.